GCACAAGCGGUGGAGUAUGUGGUUAAUUCGAUGCAACGCGAAGAACCUUACCUGGUCUUGACAUCCCGGAGACCCUUAGGAAACUAGGGGGUGCUUCCAUCUGGAAGAAUCUGGAGACAGGUGCUGCAUGGCUGUCGUCAGCUCGUGUCGUGAGAUGUUGGGUUAAGUCCCGCAACGAGCGCAACCCUUGCCUUUAGUUGCCAGCAGUUCGGCUGGGGCACUCUAAAGGGACUGCCGGUGUUAAACCGGAGGAAGGUGGGGAUGACGUCAAGUCCUCAUGGCCUUUAUGACCAGGGCUACACACGUACUACAAUGGCCGAUACAAAGGGCAGCGACACUGCGAGGUGAAGCCAAUCCCGUAAAAUCGGUCUCAGUCCGGAUUGGAGUCUGCAACUCGACUCCAUGAAGUUGGAAUCGCUAGUAAUCGUGGAUCAGCAUGCCACGGUGAAUACGUUCCCGGGCCUU
This 465-nucleotide ribosomal RNA is filed under the name uncultured Desulfobulbus sp. RNAcentral describes it as "bacterial SSU rRNA". It matches the Rfam family "Bacterial small subunit ribosomal RNA", at positions 923 to 1382 of the family's 1533-position model. Lineage: Bacteria; Pseudomonadati; Thermodesulfobacteriota; Desulfobulbia; Desulfobulbales; Desulfobulbaceae. The record is from RNAcentral.